AUUAAAAUGGCGGACGCAUCGAGAGUGAAGAGUGGAGCUUCAUAAAACCAUUCAACAAUUGUCUUUUACAAGACAACCACAUAAAUAUUUUGAAAAACAACUACUGGAAGAUAUCUCCUGAUUCAGAUUUAUGAGCAAGAUAAUCAUGCUUCCAUGGUCAAAGUAGCUCUUCUGAGUGUGUUUCAUCAUCAACAUCAAUGCCAUGUGGGUCAACAUCACUGAAUGAAACUGCUUCAAUACGAAAGCUUACAAGUGAAGAUAUAGAUAGGAGAGGAUUUUGAUGGCGAGUAUGGUUAUCGAAUGAUUGAACUUUCAAACCUAGCAAGUGCAUUUCAGUCCUUGCAUGAUUGAGAAUUAGGCGGAGAGUUGAAAGUUACCGAUGAUGAGUCUCGUAGAUAUGGAAAUAGCACAGUCAUUGUUGAGUCAGAUAUUGCAGAGAUUGCUGUGAGUUAUGAUAGCACAUGGUCUAAGCGCGAGGGUUCACUGCAAACUUUGGAAUUGAUUUUGUUAUUUCGGUUGACACAGGGGCAAAUUGAAAAGAGUCAGGGUGAUAUUGUUGCAGACAAGGAUGUUAUCAUUCGUCGUUCAUGGUUGAAUGAUGUGAAACAUA
Molecule: long non-coding RNA, 610 nt
Organism: Dendronephthya gigantea
Lineage: Eukaryota; Metazoa; Cnidaria; Anthozoa; Malacalcyonacea; Nephtheidae
Exons: 3
Source: RefSeq, a predicted model, not a curated record